AAUUUCCAGCCCUACAGCAGUGCAAAUCCUGAACUUCACUAUGUCAAUAAUAUUGAUAAAGCACUCCUCGUUAUCCAUGGCCAAAUGAAAACUGGAGUAGAUCAGUUCUUUAAAAAAACUAAAAAGACGUUUGGAUUUUCGCGCCAUUGGAUAAACGCUUGCGAUCUUCGUUUAUUUUCGUUGACGGAGGCUUCUGUUGCACACAGGAGGUAUUUUAUAAUAAUACGAUGGUGUCUCAAGUUGCUCGGUUAGACAGGAUGUUUCAGUCCACUAAGACCUUAUACAUCUCCUAUCCAAUGUUCUGCCGCAUGCGUUCUGGAGGUUAAAUAGGUCUGAAACGUCCGGAAAGUAUGUUGGCAUAAUAUUGCUCGAUUAUUUUGUAAUGCAAGGCCAAGCUCUGUAUGAGAAUUGCGACUCCACCGAAAUUUCUUGAAAGAUGGCACGCUUACAGAUGUUAUCGAACCGCUUCAAUUAGCCGUUUGAAUCUCGACAGAACAAAGCGGUUUUAAUGAUGUCUACAUACGAUGUAUAGAAAGAUCAGACGCUUAUGAGAUGUGAUACCUUUCAGCCGGCCGGUCAUUUGGUAAUCUCCAGCAGGCGAAUCCCGUCAUUGUUGGAAAUUUGGCAAUGAGCUCCAAAUGAAUACGGAUGAUCUGAUCCGCCGUGUGGGUUGGUCUUUGUGAAACGGCUAAACCGAGCUCAGAGAUCUGUACUACUUUCCCGUGACCGCUCGUGUGCCAUAUCGGUGACAGCGAAAGUUAGUCUGACCAUAAACGUGUAAUGAAGCUGUUAAGAGAAGCUCGGGACUUCGUUCACAGAUUGCUGAAAAUACUGUAACGUAACUCGUCACUCAUACCGUACCCAUCGGUGACCACACUCCACUGUACAAGCACUGAGUGAACCAAUGAUUUAGCGAAGUCUCAGCGGUUAAUACACGGGAUAUUGGGUAAACUUCCAUACAGCGAUUACUUGGAAGAUCGAUACUGUAAUAAACUGCAUUCCCUCACGGUGCUCACUAUCAGAAGAGAGGUUUGCUAUGAAGCAUCUUCAGGUUUUACUAGACUUUUAACGCAAACUUCAUCAAUCUUCCUCCUAUAUUUGUACAUUAAUAACCACAGUAUUAGCGUUAUUACCCCCGUCUCAUUCAAGUCAUUUACGGUCAUUAUAUAUUUUUUACGGUGUUUAAUGAAACUAGUGUUACUGGGUCUUUUACAGUUAUUUGGUAGUUAUCAUAUGUAAAUCAGGAUUCAGAUAUCACAAAUUAUCAGUAUUAAUUGUUCUCAUAUAACGUAACCUCUACCUGGAUGUCAUUGGGCAUCUAAAUGAUUCUUGGAAGUUCUGAGGGAGCGGUUGAUUAGGCUUGCAAAAUCUUUUUUAUGAUCUGUCUAUCUAUAAUACUUACAACGAAAAGUUCAGAGAUUGUGCACAUUGUGUUAAUGCCGUCGGCCACGAUAUUUAUAUGGGUAAAGCAAAACUAUUUGUUAUAAAUCCUUAAAGAAUAAAUCUCGA
This is a long non-coding RNA of Varroa destructor (honeybee mite), 1509 nucleotides long. NCBI's taxonomy places the organism in Eukaryota, Metazoa, Arthropoda, Arachnida, Mesostigmata, Varroidae. The record is from RefSeq and is a predicted model, not a curated record.